UUAAGUAGUAGCACCAAAAAAAAAUUAUAAGGGUUGAAAAAAAAGUCAUCCCCCGAAAUUGCAAAAAAACUUUUUUUCUGGUGGUUUCUUAUAGAAAUGGGUUUGUAGUGGAUUGUAGUGAAGUUCUUUUUGUUUGUAGUAAAACAGAAAUUGAAAAAAAAAAUAUUAUAAUUUAAGAGUAUUUUUCCAAACCGCUCUUCCCUACACAAAACUAAUUUGGGGGAGAAUGCUAUUACUACAAACGUUAAAAACGAUAGAUAAAUGUACCUAGAGGUUUGUAGUGGACGAGUUUUCGUUUGUAGUUAGAUAGAAAAUAAAUUAGAGAGGUAAAAUCGAAAAUAAUCGUUUUGGAGUGAUUUCCUCUUAAUUACUUCCGGUAAGAGGAUUUUCCGAUUACUACAAACGUUAAAAACGAUUGAUAAAUGUACCUAGAGGUUUGUAGUGGACGAGUUUUCGUUUGUAGUUAGAUAGAAAAUAAAUUAGAAAUAUA
Long non-coding RNA from Zerene cesonia (dogface butterfly), 490 nucleotides. RefSeq lists it as uncharacterized. The transcript is spliced from 2 exons. Lineage: Eukaryota; Metazoa; Arthropoda; Insecta; Lepidoptera; Pieridae. The record is from RefSeq and is a predicted model, not a curated record.